UGGGUGUGCAUAUUACAGCGCUUUCUCAAAAAAGCGCUGUAAAAUGCACACCCAUAAGUAAUUUUAUCUUUUUUAAUUGAUGAGAAUUUAAUUUAUUAGUUGUCUAUAAACAAAAUUGCUUAACCAA
Small nucleolar RNA from Cicer arietinum (chickpea), 127 nucleotides. RefSeq annotates it as small nucleolar RNA SNORA11. Lineage: Eukaryota; Viridiplantae; Streptophyta; Magnoliopsida; Fabales; Fabaceae. The record is from RefSeq and is a predicted model, not a curated record.